RNAcentral lists this ribosomal RNA (888 nucleotides) under uncultured Clostridiaceae bacterium. RNAcentral describes it as "bacterial SSU rRNA". It matches the Rfam family "Bacterial small subunit ribosomal RNA", at positions 8 to 916 of the family's 1533-position model. The record is from RNAcentral. Lineage: Bacteria; Bacillati; Bacillota; Clostridia; Eubacteriales; Clostridiaceae.
AGAGUUUGAUCCUGGCUCAGGACGAACGCUGGCGGCGUGCCUAACACAUGCAAGUCGAGCGAUGAAGCCUUCGGGUGGAUUAGCGGCGGACGGGUGAGUAACACGUGGGUAACCUGCCUCAAAGAGGGGGAUAGCCUCCCGAAAGGGAGAUUAAUACCGCAUAACAUUAGAUUGUCGCAUGACAGUUUAAUCAAAGGAGUAAUCCGCUUUGAGAUGGACCCGCGGCGCAUUAGCUAGUUGGAGAGGUAAAGGCUCACCAAGGCGACGAUGCGUAGCCGACCUGAGAGGGUGAUCGGCCACAUUGGAACUGAGACACGGUCCAGACUCCUACGGGAGGCAGCAGUGGGGAAUAUUGCACAAUGGGCGAAAGCCUGAUGCAGCAACGCCGCGUGAGUGAUGAAGGCCUUCGGGUUGUAAAGCUCUGUCUUCUGGGACGAUAAUGACGGUACCAGAGGAGGAAGCCACGGCUAACUACGUGCCAGCAGCCGCGGUAAUACGUAGGUGGCAAGCGUUGUCCGGAUUUACUGGGCGUAAAGAAUGCGUAGGCGGAUACUUAAGUCAGAUGUGAAAUACCCGAGCUCAACUUGGGUGCUGCAUUUGAAACUGGGUAUCUAGAGUGCGGGAGAGGUAAGUGGAAUUCCUAGUGUAGCGGUGAAAUGCGUAGAGAUUAGGAAGAACACCAGUGGCGAAGGCGACUUACUGGACCGUAACUGACGCUGAGGCAUGAAAGCGUGGGGAGCAAACAGGAUUAGAUACCCUGGUAGUCCACGCCGUAAACGAUGGGUACUAGGUGUGGGAGGUAUCGACCCCUUCCGUGCCGCAGUUAACACAAUAAGUACCCCGCCUGGGGAGUACGGUCGCAAGAUUAAAACUCAAAGGAAUUGACGG